Non-coding RNA from Homo sapiens (human), 354 nucleotides. NCBI's taxonomy places the organism in Eukaryota, Metazoa, Chordata, Mammalia, Primates, Hominidae. The record is from the annotation of a RefSeq genome assembly.
AUGGCCUGGGCUCUGCUCCUUCUCACCCUCCUCACUCAGGGCACAGGGUCCUGGGCCCAGUCUGUUCUGACUCAGCCUCGCUCAGUGUCCAGGUCUCCUGGACAGUAGGUUACUAUCUUCUGCACUGGAACCAGCAGUGACAUUGGGGGUUAUGACCUUGUCUCCUGGUGCCAGUAGCACCCAGGCAAAGCCCCCAAACUCAUGAUUUAUGAUGUCGGUAAUUGGCCCUCAGGGGCCCCUGGUUGCUUCUCUGGCUCCAAGUCUGGCAACACGGCCUCCCUGACCAUCUCUGGGCUCCAGGCUGAGGACGAGGCUGAUUAUUACUGCAGCUCAUAUGCAGGCAGCUACAAUUUC